GACGAACGCUGGCGGCGUGCUUAACACAUGCAAGUCGAACGAAGCUUGAUUACGGGUUCUUCGGUAGAGGUAGGAUAUGACUGAGUGGCGGACGGGUGAGUAACGCGUGAGUAACCUGCCCUUCAGAGGGGGAUAGCGUUUGGAAACGAACGGUAAUACCGCAUAAUGUAUUUUGACCGCAUGAUCGAAAUUGCAAAGAUUUAUCGCUGAAGGAUGGACUCGCGUGUGAGUAGGGAGUUGGCGGGGCAAAGGCCUACUGAGCGGACGAUCAGUAGCCGGAGAGCGAGGUUGCGCGGCCACAUCGUGACUGAGACACGGCCCAGACUCCUACGGGAGGGAGCAGAAGGGAAUAUCGCACAAUGGGCGCAAGCCUGAUGCAGCAACGCCUCGUGAAGGAAGACGGUUUGCGGAGAGUAAACUUCUGUUCUUAGUGAAGAAUAAUGACGGUAGCUAAGGAGUAAGCCACGGCUAACUACGUG
RNAcentral lists this ribosomal RNA (479 nucleotides) under uncultured bacterium. Its description in RNAcentral is "partial 16S ribosomal RNA". It matches the Rfam family "Bacterial small subunit ribosomal RNA", at positions 28 to 507 of the family's 1533-position model. The record is from RNAcentral.